UUCUUGUCAAAGAAAAUUCAGUGAAAAUGUUCAGUAGUCAUUCAGGUGCGAACGAAAAGGGUUCUCACGGCAAAGCAUAUUUUUAUCCUAAUUUUAGGAAAAAUUUUCCUGCAAAAUUUUCAUUAAAAAAGUGGGUUACCUUUCGACCAGAAUCUGCUACAUCAUUCGGCGCGGAACUCGAAAUCCCAGCGAAGGCGUUAUUUUGCAGCCCCUUUUCGGACCUAUUUCUGGAACUGUACAGUCCGAAGUGGUACUACUUCAAUUUCACGGCCACGCAGAGGACGGGUUAAUUUGGCCGCAAUCGCAUCUAUUCUAUACGAUAUCCGCCGCCUCUGCACUAGGAUCCUGUCUUAAAGCGUAGCUUAUCAAUUGGCCAUGGGAAUGACCCUUCAGUUGUCGGGAUGACAUAGAAUCCCGGUCUACUUCAAGAGUUUCCUAAUGAGGACCCGCUGAUGCUUGCGUUGGGGAAAUCACAUUGUUUUCCCAGGAUGGAAUGAGAUGACUCUGGAGCAUGUCCAUGUCCAUGUCAGAAACUGUCAAUGUGGCCCAUUGGUGAUCGCCAAAUGCUCUUGACUUUCUCUAGAAAUGCCAUAAGAUUCACCGACAUAUGAUUGACUAUCUAAACUAAGUGAGUUUAGCACACGAAGGCUACGUUCUGCCCCAAAUGGCACUGGCCCAA
This is a long non-coding RNA of Drosophila suzukii, 679 nucleotides long. RefSeq lists it as uncharacterized. Lineage: Eukaryota; Metazoa; Arthropoda; Insecta; Diptera; Drosophilidae. The record is from RefSeq and is a predicted model, not a curated record.